AAACCUCCAACCGGACAAAAAGAUCAAAAAUAGCGAAUGCGCGACAGAGACUUGUCUUUUGAGACGGCGAGAGCAGAAACGACGCCGCUGCAUCCGCUCACCGUCUCUUCGCCAACAGCUCUCUAAAACUCACAUAUCAAUUGAUAUUGGAUUUGAUUGAUUCGUCGAUUGAUUUUGAUUUUGGGUUUUGGGGAUGCUAUUGUUGAGGAGGAUCGCUGGGUUUCUUGGAUUUGCUAAAGACGAUGCCCACGACGUGAAAGAUCAAGACGACGAUACCGUUAACGACUCCCAGCCUCGUCUUCCCCACGAAUUCCAUGAAACUGGCCUUCCACGCAAGGGUUUCGGUGUCAAGGUCCAGGUCGCUGUGGACCGUCCCCAGUCAGCCCCACUUCUUCUUCCCUCUACGUCCGGCGACGGCGGCGUCCAGGGUCUUAGAUGGUAUGCAAAGUGUCUAAGAAUAGAUGAUGAUGGAGAUGUGGCAGAUGAGUUCCUUGAUGAGGUUUUAACAGAGACAACACACAAUGUAGAGGAACAGCCUAAGCAUCAUCCUAGGUUUGAAGUGAAGCGCAGAACCAGACCAAUUAAAGUGAAGAACCAGGUCCUGUCUGUUGAUGGAAAAAUUCAACAAUGCAUUGAGCACCAAGGCAGAUUGCAGUGGGUCUAAUCCCUUCCUAGAGAAUUUGUGGGCUUAAUGCUGGUUUGUGUUUUGUUUUAAAUUACAUUUGAGCCUAUCACAUGAAUGUAUUGUGUCUACUUAUAUUUUACAGUAUAGAAAUGAACUUAAAAUUUGUCAAGCCAGGUCUCACUACUAUUAAUAUUCAGUUAUGAUUUUUCUUCUAUUUUUCUUUGUUAACUUUUCCUCCUUCAUGCCAAGGAUCCUUUAUUGAAUACUAUAUUUGUGAGAGAAUUGUAUGUGCUAAUUGAGAUGAUGUCUAGGCAGAGUGCAUCGAUCUGUGUAACGUAUUCCUGCACAUUCUUCCUUUCUUUUUAUGCGGUAUCUUGUACGUUUAUGUGGAGAAAGUAAGAGUAAACUAUAGUUCUCCCUAACUUAUAAGAUGAUUUAUAUGACUAUAUCAUCCGAUCACUGUCUUAGUGUCUUGUAUAUGAAAAUUUUUACUUAGUUUGCCCAUACUUUUACUGAUUACAUUGUACAAUAAUGAUUGAAUUUCAGUAAGAGUGACUGAAUAUUGCCUGGAGCAACAAUGUCAAUGUCAGCUUGCUAGCUAGUCUAUUAUUCAUACACUUACUCAUCUCAGGUUUCAUUAUUGUAUUUUAGUAAGAGUGACUGAAUAUAGCCUGGAGCAACAAAGUCAAUGUCAGCUUGCUAGCGAGCCUAUUAUUCACACACGGAUACACUUACUCAUCUCAGGUUUGAACUUUAUACUUGCAUACAAACAUUUUACUUUUCUGAUUAAUAGAAGCACAUGGUUUUAUUCUCAGAUGUCGUAAAACAACUGUUUGACUGGAGUUUGAGUGUUUUUCAGUUCUAUUGAUUUUGGUGCCCUAGAUUUGAAAUAGUCGACUAGAAAAGUUUCCUGCAAGCUCUCUCUGAUUGCUGACUCUAAAGCUCAUGCAUGUAGAGAUGAAGGUCUAUGCUACUCUGGAGUCUCGACCUUUCUGGAUACGUCAACAUCUAAUACACUUUGGCUUUAAGAUUUUCUUGUGUUUAUCAGAAGUUUCAAACCCCCCACUCCUUUGUUGUCUUUCCCUUGCAUGGACUCUCUCCAUGAAAAUGUGGUUGGAAAUUGAAUUGCCAAACUUUUGGGGUAGGGCAUGGCACAAUGUAUAUGGGACAGACCAUAGACAGAAAUGUCUGCAGCUGGUCAAAUGAGGCUAAGAUUUGGACAAUGUGAUAGAGAUUAUCUUCA
RNA transcript from Tripterygium wilfordii, 1868 nucleotides. RefSeq lists it as uncharacterized. NCBI's taxonomy places the organism in Eukaryota, Viridiplantae, Streptophyta, Magnoliopsida, Celastrales, Celastraceae. The transcript has 3 exons. The record is from RefSeq and is a predicted model, not a curated record.